Molecule: ribosomal RNA, 506 nt
Filed under: uncultured bacterium
Lineage: Bacteria
Description: partial 16S ribosomal RNA
Rfam family: Bacterial small subunit ribosomal RNA
Source: RNAcentral
AGUGAACGCUGGCGGUAGGCCUAACACAUGCAAGUCGAACGGCAGCACAGGAGAGCUUGCUCUCUGGGUGGCGAGUGGCGGACGGGUGAGGAAUACAUCGGAAUCUACUCUGUCGUGAGGGAUAACGUAGGGAAACUUACGCUAAUACCGCAUACGACCUACGGGUGAAAGCAGGGGACCUUCGGGCCUUGCGCGACUGAACGAGCCGAUGUCGGAUUAGCUAGUUGGCGGGGUAAAGGCUCACCAAGGCGACGAUCCGUAGCUGGUCUGAGAGGAUGAUCAGCCACACUGGAACUGAGACACGGUCCAGACUCCUACGGGAGGCAGCAGUGGGGAAUAUUGGACAAUGGGCGCAAGCCUGAUCCAGCCAUACCGCGUGGGUGAAGAAGGCCUUCGGGUUGUAAAGCCCUUUUGUUGGGAAAGAAAUCCAGCUGGCUAAUACCCGGUUGGGAUGACGGUACCCAAAGAAUAAGCACCGGCUAACUUCGUGCCAGCCGCCGCGGUAA